RNAcentral lists this ribosomal RNA (492 nucleotides) under uncultured bacterium. RNAcentral describes it as "partial 16S ribosomal RNA". It matches the Rfam family "Bacterial small subunit ribosomal RNA", at positions 29 to 507 of the family's 1533-position model. The record is from RNAcentral.
AGUGAACGCUGGCGGUAGGCCUAACACAUGCAAGUCGAACGGCAGCACAGUAAGAGCUUGCUCUUACGGGUGGCGAGUGGCGGACGGGUGAGGAAUACAUCGGAAUCUACUUUUUCGUGGGGGAUAACGUAGGGAAACUUACGCUAAUACCGCAUACGACCUACGGGUGAAAGCAUGGGAUCUUCGGACCUUGCGCGAUUGAAUGAGCCGAUGUCGGAUUAGCUAGUUGGCGGGGUAAAGGCCCACCAAGGCGACGAUCCGUAGCUGGUCUGAGAGGAUGAUCAGCCACACUGGAACUAAGAAACGGUCCAGAGUCCUACGGGAGGCAGCAGUGGGGAAUAUUGGACAAUGGGAGCAAGCCUGAUCCAGCCAUACCGCGUGGGUGAAGAAGGCCUUCGGGUUGUAAAGCCCUUUUGUUGGGAAAGAAAAGCAGCAGGUUAAUACCCCGCUGUUCUGACGGUACCCAAAGAAUAAGCACCGGCUAACUUCGUG